Molecule: non-coding RNA, 3518 nt
Organism: Ictidomys tridecemlineatus (thirteen-lined ground squirrel)
Lineage: Eukaryota; Metazoa; Chordata; Mammalia; Rodentia; Sciuridae
Source: RefSeq, a predicted model, not a curated record
GAGAACUGUAAACACCAAAGCCAGGCUGCUACAGCUACCAGCUAGGUAAUACAUCUAAAAAUAUCUCCCCUAUCACGGAUGCUAUGGUAGAUCCGAGCUGUGGCCAAAGAAACCUCACAGAAGUCAGCUGAACCUGGGGUGUUCUGAGUGGUGCUGCAUCAAAACAAAACAAAAAGUGGGUCUAAGACCCCCUACCACUUCUUAGGCUGGGAGGAGGGGACUCAAGGGUUAACUUUAAGUGAUUCUCAAAAUCUUUCUGGUUGCAGCCUCCCAAUAUUAUUCCAUUUCAGUAUGAGCUCUUUUUUUUUCCCUUUAAUCAUUUUCCUUUAAAACAGGAGACAGAACUCUUCUCUAAGAAAGUUACAAUGUUGUCAACCUUUUAGUGUUGCUUAAAGAAAAAAUAUAAGAAAAGUUUACUCUAUAAACACAAGACCCAGGAAGAUUUCAAAAAUACAAAAGAGAACAUAGAUCCAUGACUUUCAUUGGCAUUUUUCCUUUUUUUAAGGAAAGUGCUGAUUUUAUAAAUGGCUUCUCAGGUGAGAAACGUUGUCACUGCCCUGGGCCAGCCUGUCCCAGCUCGGUGGCUACAAGGCCACGGGAAAGGCCGAAGGCGACCUCAGCACCUCCCCCUCCCCAAGCCGCCUCUCAGGCACAGACUUCCCUCCAACAACAACUCAGGAAGCAGGCGGCCAGCGGCACAGGGGUGCCUGAGGACGUCCAUUGUGGCUGACUGUCUACCAGACCCUGCGGACUCCUGUGGACCACAGACCUCCGGCUCAGGAACCUUUGAGCUACCAGUCUCAGCACAGAAAAUUAACAGGAGAAAACAAUAGGGUUGCAGCACGAGCCCAUGCAGGACAGAACACGGAGUCUCCACCACGUCCCCAGAAUUAUCCUAACGAGCACCACGUACCUCACAACACGACCACACGGCUCACCCGCAAGUGACAGCCAGUUCAGAGCACAGAGGAGGAAGCCCUGUCCCCACGCUGGAGGAGAGGAGGAACACGCGUGCCCCCAGAGACAGCCCAGCUUGCUUUGUCUUCGGCGAACACUGAUCUCAUAACCCACAGUCCAGGGAAUAAAAAACGAAAGACACCCACCAACCGCCGGGGAAAAUCAGCGGCUCCUGGAAGACGGCAGGGAAGGCUUCUCCCUCUGCUCAGUGUGCAGUGGCUCAGGGAAAAAAAAUGUCGCCCGGGCAGGGACGACAAAUGCAGCAGGACGGCUGGAGGCCUGAGGGGUCCGCUUCACUUCCACGUCCCCCACGCAGCCCCACUCAUCCUCUCCCAUGCUUUCUCUGCACUUUUUUUUUUCACUAGCUCCAAAUCCCCGGCAUAUGACCUUCUGUUAAAUAGAUAAAAAAAAAAAUUGCUUAUCAGUCAUGCAAAUGAGGCUGAAUUCAUUUUCCACAACAGAUGGCCUCAUAGAUAAUGAUGAUGGAAGAGAGAAAAUUGAAUGUCUCUCACAAGGUGGCCAUGGCAACCGAGAGCAGAAUAAUAUCAAUAAUAAGCUCACUGCAUAAUAAGGUUGUCAGUCCUACAAAUCAAAGUCUCCAGCUAAAUCAGGUACACCACCCCAGCUAGUCACCAGGUAAAUUACACACACACACACACACACACACACACACACACACGUAUGUCUGUGUGCAUGUGGGUGUGUGUGUUUUACAGUGACCGUGAAGAAGACCAGAAUUCCAACCACUCGGUGGAAGUGCGUAUGUGGCAGGGGGAGGGGGUAGUUGGAUAAUGAAAUGACAAUGUGACUUUCUUUCUUUUCUUUUUCUUUCAUUAUGUCUUUUGCACUGGAGUGGGUUUCCUGAGGGAUCUUCUAACUAGCCAUAUUGAAAUUUGGAAUGGGCGUGGGGAAGGCUCCUCUCCUUCCACCGCCUCCUCCCCGCUCUCCUCUGAUGUGGUGCACUGCAUGGAUGUGAGAGCAGCUCGCCCGCCCGCCCGAGGCUUCCACCUUGGCUCCCAGGGGGACAUCCUGCAAAAUGAAUCAGCAGCCAUCCUGAGCAGGCUGAUUAAAAUGAAAAUGGCAAGGCACACGUCUGGGCGGGACUGGAGCUCAGCGUUGCUGCCUGUCUGGCAAGCAUGCUCGAUAUAGCUCUUGCUAAUAAUGGCUUGCUGCCUCGCCUGUUUUUAAAAAGCCCCGCUGCUGCAGUGUGAAUCAGAAAUCAAUAGAGCUGCCCUAAUGGAGACUCCACUCAGCUCACAGCGACCAGCUGCAGCCUCCCGCUCCCUCUCACAGAACUGAUGACGUCCACACAGCUUUUUCAGCUGAUUGGGCACCACAUCGGAUGUUCUGUGAAGCAAAGAAUAGGAAUCAUUUAUAGUCGGUGGGAAAAAAAAUGGGAGCAUGUAUUCUCCCGUGUCUACGACACUGCUGCUCAGCUCCUGCACUACAGCCACACCAGUGAGUGCUCCAGGUCGCAUGGUCACCGUGGAGUCAGGAGGACUCCAGAAAUGACCGCAGGACUGCAGCUGCAGAACAAUGGGGAUGCGCUUCCAUCUUGGGAAGGACAAAGCAUUCCUCUAAGAGUAUGCCAAUCAAAUCCCCACCAAGGUGCCAGUGGCCAGGUCAAACAGGGGCCCUGCACACCGCAUCAGGCUUCAACAUAGCUGGGUACUUGAAGGCAUCUCCAAAUGUGCUUCAAAAAUAAAAGCUACAAUCAUAAGGACUCUCAAAGCCCAAAUGCACAUCUUCACCCUCUGUCAGCCCCCAGGAGUCUGCUUGGGUCAUGUGAGAAUUAGAUUCAGCUUUCUUGUUAGUUUCCCCAAAGCUUGUUUCCACUAAGAGGGACAUUUCUAAAUAAUACUAAGCCAUGAUAUUUAAAAUCACAGAGGUGCGUAUACAUGAAAGUAUCUUUCUCACACGCAUGUGCAUGUCUGUGGAAAUACAGUGUCAGAUCAGGGCCCUGCACACUUGUGUGCAUGUGUGAGUGUGCAAGGUGCUUCAACAGGUCUGGUCUCCUGAAGCCGUGGGGGACUUCCGCAGCUCACAGGCCUCUGAGGUUGUACCCUCAGGGUGAGGUGUCCCUGGUCUUCGGGGCAACAAAGGAGCCUCUCCCCUCGCCCCACACCCCCUGCCUUCAGCCUGUCCCUGACAGCACCUGCCUGGCCUGACUCGCUCCAUGAGGCCUUCCUGCUCCUCCCAACGCCCCCCCACUGUCAGAGUGGAGACGCAGCCUCCGAGGGCAGGAGAGAAAGGAACAGAGGAAGAAUCAUGAAGCACAGAGCACUGCAGAGCCACGUUUCAGCCUGUUUUAUGGUUACAUGGUACCUGCACUUGAAGAAUUACGAUUUCUAAAAAAAUAGAAUCAACUGCUCUGCUGCAGGGUACCGUAAAGCCCUGCAAGAUGAAUGAGGACCUAUAGUUUGCAAUUAAACCAGGUGAUGGAACAAUCUGCAUCAAAUAUCAAUCAAACUCUUCCUUAAAUUGUUAUGAGUCUACUUCUUGCUGCACUCAACUUAGGAGUUCAUUGCACAGAUUAAAUCCUUUCUUUGUCAGAAAAAGCA